GAUGAACGCUGGCGGCGUGCCUAAUACAUGCAAGUCGAGCGAACGGACGAGAAGCUUGUUUCUCUGAUGUUAGCGGCGGACGGGUGAGUAACACGUGGAUAACCUACCUAUAAGACUGGGAUAACUUCGGGAAACCGGAGCUAAUACCGGAUAAUAUUUUGAACCGCAUGGUUCAAAAGUGAAAGACGGUCUUGCUGUCACUUAUAGAUGGAUCCGCGCUGCAUUAGCUAGUUGGUAAGGUAACGGCUUACCAAGGCAACGAUGCAUAGCCGACCUGAGAGGGUGAUCGGCCACACUGGAACUGAGACACGGUCCAGACUCCUACGGGAGGCAGCAGUAGGGAAUCUUCCGCAAUGGGCGAAAGCCUGACGGAGCAACGCCGCGUGAGUGAUGAACGUCUUCGGAUCGUAAAACUCUGUUAUUAGGGAAGAACAUAUGUGUAAGUAACUGUGCACAUCUUGACGGUACCUAAUCAGAAAGCCACGGCUAACUACGUG
RNAcentral lists this ribosomal RNA (497 nucleotides) under uncultured bacterium. RNAcentral describes it as "partial 16S ribosomal RNA". It matches the Rfam family "Bacterial small subunit ribosomal RNA", at positions 28 to 507 of the family's 1533-position model. The record is from RNAcentral.